GGGGUUGUAGCUCAAUGGUAGAGUGCUUGCCUUGCAUGCAUGAGGCCCUGGGUUCAAUCCUCAGCACCA
This 69-nucleotide transfer RNA is filed under the name Ictidomys tridecemlineatus (thirteen-lined ground squirrel). RNAcentral's name for it is "Spermophilus tridecemlineatus (thirteen-lined ground squirrel) tRNA". It matches the Rfam family "tRNA". Rfam says of the family: Transfer RNA (tRNA) molecules are approximately 80 nucleotides in length. The record is from Rfam by way of RNAcentral. Lineage: Eukaryota; Metazoa; Chordata; Mammalia; Rodentia; Sciuridae.